GAGGGUGCAGCUCAGUGGUAGAGCACGUGCUUAGCAUGCACGCAGCCCUGGGUUCCAUCCCAGUAACUUUA
RNAcentral lists this transfer RNA (71 nucleotides) under Camelus bactrianus (Bactrian camel). It matches the Rfam family "tRNA". From Rfam's summary of the family: Transfer RNA (tRNA) molecules are approximately 80 nucleotides in length. Their secondary structure includes four short double-helical elements and three loops (D, anti-codon, and T loops). Further hydrogen bonds mediate the characteristic L-shaped molecular structure. tRNAs have two regions of fundamental functional importance: the anti-codon, which is responsible for specific mRNA codon recognition, and the 3' end, to which the tRNAs corresponding amino acid is attached (by aminoacyl-tRNA synthetases). tRNAs cope with the degeneracy of the genetic code in two manners: having more than one tRNA (with a specific anti-codon) for a particular amino acid; and 'wobble' base-pairing, i.e. permitting non-standard base-pairing at the 3rd anti-codon position. RNAcentral also lists the same sequence under 2 other names. The record is from Rfam by way of RNAcentral. Lineage: Eukaryota; Metazoa; Chordata; Mammalia; Artiodactyla; Camelidae.